RNAcentral lists this long non-coding RNA (2000 nucleotides) under Drosophila guanche. The stretch from base 1429 to 1515 matches the Rfam family "Heat shock gene hsromega conserved region 2". Lineage: Eukaryota; Metazoa; Arthropoda; Insecta; Diptera; Drosophilidae. The record is from RNAcentral.
CCAGAUAACGCCACUCGCAAAAAAAAAGUGUUUAAGUUCAGUCACAGUGUCUCUAAAGAAAAAAGUUAUAUAUUUAUAAAAAAAUAAAAAUAUUCACUAUUGCUGGCUAGCAUAUAGUAUUCAUCACCAAAUAUGGAAAAGUGUGGAAAACGUGUCGCAAAAGCGAAGCAAAGGCCCUAUUCCAGUAUAGAAAAAACGCCAACGUAGUCUUGCUCGACGUGGGCAAUAUUUGCUCACAAAUUUAAACAAAGAAGCACGAUGAAGAAGUGUAUUAGUCAUCGAUUUGGCCGUCAGCUUCGGGGAAUUUCACAAUGCGGAACGCUGGGAAAGCAGGAAAGGCGCAGUUUCUCGUUUUUGGCUAGAAAGUGACUCUCUAGGCAGGAUGAGGCAAUCCAGGAGGUUCAGGAAACUCUCUCGAAACUGUCCCAGACGGGUGCAAUGGCGGCAGCCCUGACCCACAGUGUACGUGGAUUUGAUAAAUUGGGAUAGGAAGCCAGGUACAAACAGCAGAAAAUCAAGAGUGACAUAUUUUAAUGCACCUUGUAAUUCGUAAGCAAAAAAGUAGUCUUAAGAACUAGAUACUUGUCGAAUGUCGAUCUGCAGGAAAAAACUUAUUUUCUCACUCCCCAUUUCGUGGCCACACGUUUGUCGUGGCCUUUUCUGAUACCAAAUUAUGUCAAAUUCGGACUAUUUCAGCGCAUUGCGUAAUCAGGAAUUUUUUUCCAGAACAAUUCCACGCGUCUCGAAUCAUGGCGAAAAUUCUCGAUUUUUCCUUUCAACCCCCCAAACCGAAUCAUUUGCCACCACCUGGCCUGCUCUGAAAAUAACCUUUUUGUAGCCCUCUCUCUCUUCACUUACAUGUUAUGUGUAUGUAUAUUCAUCUCGCUCCCACUUGUGGGUUACAGAUAUCCAUACUACAUUCGGUUGUACUCGUACUGACGUCAACAGCAGAGCAGCUGCAAUAAGUACAUGGGUGUGAAUUUCUCUUCCAUGUAUUUUCUUUUCUUCUACGAAUAUAUAUAUAUUUUCCCAUAUGCUGGGUCUAGGGAAAAUUUCAUUACUUUACGUUUCUUCAUCCCUGUUGCUGUUCUUCUAUUGGCAUCUAUCUUACCUACGUUUAAGUUUCGUAGUCGUUAUGACAUUUACAUAGCUGAUAAUCUUAUUUUUAAUUAUGCAAUAUGCAACUCUGACACACCACUUAACCAAGCAAUAUGUAUUUCUUUCUCUAAACUUUAUAGUUGGGCGUUGAAUGUUGAUACGCAGCGUUUUCGAUCGAUCCAAGUAAAACUCUGUACCCUUCGCGAGCAAAAGGCAGAUGAAGUGCUGAAAAUGCACUUCGGCCGAUGUACGCGUUUGCCGAAAGUUUUGGCUGCGUCCCUGACUCGGCCUUAGUGUCGCUUGUUGGGGUCUGCAGACUGACCAGGGUGCGUCGUUUCUAUCAGAUUGAUUGUGCGGAUUGUGUUAUAGGAACACCGGUGUAUCGACUUCUCUGCUCUACUAAGGGUGAACCAUACAAAGGGCCUUCUGUUGCUUACCCACCAUCGAACAAUACCAAAACCGGGCAGAUAUACGUACAUAUAACUCGGUUCUGACAUCGAUACAUUGAAUCUGUUCACACGUCGUCUUUGGAGUAGCAAUUGAACCAACCAACCAGUCGAAAACAAUCGCAGUUGGUUGCCAACCAUCUUUUCUGUGGCUAAACACUUUGUAGUGAACUCAAAGCGGAAUCAGUUCCACAACAACAAUGUGUUAAGUUCUUAAUUAUUUGAAAUUGUUUACAAUUUUUUGUUUGUUUUUGUACACUCUACGACUUUAUAAUUACUUAUACUGAUGUAAAAUUACUUGUCGAAACAAAACUGAGAAUAAGAAAAUGGAAAAAAAUGCAUUACAAAAGAGCUCAUCUAUAUCUAUGGAAAAGAAGCAACAAAAAAGUGAAUAAAAUUCAAAAAUUCCAAAAAUAAAUCUCAAAACAUUGCUCGUCAUAUUUUUUUAUUUCAAGC